RNAcentral lists this long non-coding RNA (199 nucleotides) under Lathyrus oleraceus (garden pea). Its description in RNAcentral is "Pisum sativum (pea) long non-coding RNA (PSAT_LNC041524)". The record is from RNAcentral. Lineage: Eukaryota; Viridiplantae; Streptophyta; Magnoliopsida; Fabales; Fabaceae.
ACAAAUGCAACAAGCUAUCAAUCAAACAAAGUCAUUUAGCACUCACUAUAACCAAACAAUUAGGCUCAAUCAAAGGGUUAGACUUAAAAAGUCAACUGGAAUAGGGUAAAUGGUGCUCUUGACCUUGACAUUGAGAGCCAAGGUGAAGCAGAUGAAAGGAUAUGAGGGGUGUGCCUCAUCACUCUUAUCCCUGGUCAGG